This 496-nucleotide long non-coding RNA is filed under the name Homo sapiens (human). RNAcentral's name for it is "non-protein coding lnc-DES-4:1". The record is from RNAcentral. Lineage: Eukaryota; Metazoa; Chordata; Mammalia; Primates; Hominidae.
AGCCACUGGGCCCGGCCGACGUGGGGUCUAUUGAGGAGAACUUACAUACAAGAUGGUCCAGUGGUGGUCACCCAGGCUGGAGUGCAGUGGUGUGAUCUCAGCUCACUGCAACCUCUGCCUCCCAGGCUCAAGCGGUUCUCCUGUCUCAGCCUCCCUAGUAGCUGGGAUUACAGGCGUGUGCCAACACACUCAGCUGAUUUUUUGUAUUUUUAGUAGAGAUGAGGUUUCACCAUGUUGGUCAGGCUGGACUCUAACUCCUGACCUCAAGUAAUUCGCCUGCCUCAGCCUCCCAAAGUGCUGGGAUUAUAGGCAUGAGCCACUGUGCCUGGCCUAGAAAUGUUCUAUAUCUUGAUUUGGACUGGUAGUUACACAGACGUGGACAUUGAUCAAAACUCAUUGAAUUGUACAUUAAAGAUCUGUGCAUUUCACUGUAUGUAAAUUUAACCUCAAUUUAAAACAGAUCAGUUACUCCAAAAACUGGUACCCCUUGAUACUC